AUGGAGAGUCGUAUCAAAGUAAAACAUUCUGUUAUGGAUAGUGGUACCAAGCUUAAUCAAAGGAAACAAGAUUGGUUAAUGAGGCCUUACUUAGAGAAUGCGGUGAAAGAUGCAGUGUUCAGCAUACCUGGAAAGAAAGCUCCAGGCCCUGAUGGAUAUAGUAGCUAUUUUUUCCAUGAUAACUGGGACAUCAUUGGUUCUGUUAUUGCUACUAAAAUGAUUUGCAGCUGA
Non-coding RNA from Vicia faba (fava bean), 231 nucleotides. The record is from the annotation of a GenBank genome assembly. Lineage: Eukaryota; Viridiplantae; Streptophyta; Magnoliopsida; Fabales; Fabaceae.